Molecule: long non-coding RNA, 490 nt
Organism: Oncorhynchus keta (chum salmon)
Lineage: Eukaryota; Metazoa; Chordata; Actinopteri; Salmoniformes; Salmonidae
Exons: 3
Source: RefSeq, a predicted model, not a curated record
CCCACUUAUAACCCUCUAUGUCAGGAUACUACCCUGCAGGUAACCAAACGUUAACCCCACUUAUAACCCUCUAUGUCAGGAUACUGCCCUGCAGGUAACCAAACGUUAACCCCACUUAUAACCCUCUAUGUCAGGAUACUACCCUGCAGGUAACCAAACGUUAACCCCACUUAUAACCCUCUAUGUCAGGAUACUGCCCUGCAGGUAACCAAACGUUAACCCCACUUAUAACCCUCUAUGUCAGGAUACUACCCUGCAGGUAACCAAACGUUAACCCCACUUAUAACCCUCUAUGUCAGGAUACUGCCCUGCAGGUAACCAAACGUUAACCCCACUUAUAACCCUCUAUGUCAGGAUACUACCCUGCAGGUAACCAAACGUUAACCCCACUUAUAACCCUCUACGUCAGGAUACUACCCUGCAGGUAACCAAACGUUAACCCCACUUAUAACCCUCUACGUCAGGAUACUACCCUGCAGGUAACCAAACG